RNAcentral lists this ribosomal RNA (504 nucleotides) under uncultured bacterium. Its description in RNAcentral is "bacterial SSU rRNA". It matches the Rfam family "Bacterial small subunit ribosomal RNA", at positions 25 to 518 of the family's 1533-position model. The record is from RNAcentral.
CAGAACGAACGCUGGCGGCGCGUCUUAAGCAUGCAAGUCGAACGGCAAGAGGUAGCAAUACCUCCUAGAGUGGCGGACUGGUGAGUAACACGUGGGUGACAUACCCUUCAGAUGGGGAUAGCUAUUAGAAAUAGUAGAUAAUACCGAAUACGAGCACAGGGGUUAGAGAUCUGUGAGGAAAGGAGCUAAGGCUCCGCUGAAGGAAUGGCCUGCGGCCCAUUAGCUAGUUGGUGAGGUAAGAGCCCACCAAGGCGAUGAUGGGUAUCCGGCCUUAGAGGGUGAACGGACACAUUGGGACUGAGAUACGGCCCAGACUCCUACGGGAGGCAGCAGCUAAGAAUAUUCCGCAAUGGACGAAAGUCUGACGGAGCGACGCCGCGUGGAUGAAGAAGGCCGGAAGGUUGUAAAAUCCUUUUGAAACUGAAGAAUAAGCGUUGUAGGGAAUGACAGCGUGGUGACAGUAGGUUUUGAAUAAGCAACGGCUAAUUACGUGCCAGCCGCUGC